RNAcentral lists this unclassified non-coding RNA (715 nucleotides) under Ooceraea biroi (clonal raider ant). Its description in RNAcentral is "nK-tumor recognition protein-like, transcript variant X2". Lineage: Eukaryota; Metazoa; Arthropoda; Insecta; Hymenoptera; Formicidae. The record is from RNAcentral.
AAGAAAGAGAGAGAGAGAGUGUAUGUGAGAAGAUCGCUCCAGGAUUCCACGCCGAACCGUGUCCUCGAGUCCUGUGAGGGGAGGUCUCACACGCAGCGACGUUUCGGAGCACUGAUCGGCGAUCGCUGGCGAACCGCAUUUACGUGUGGAAAUCGGUCCUCGUCCUGAUGUAAUGGAAAUCUGAUUUGUCCCCUGAUAUUUUCAAGUCAAGUGUAUAAUUUGCGCGUGCGCAGCUAACCAAACCACCGCUCCGCCAUUUUUGUCAACCGCGAAUGUUCGGCGCGAAAUCGCGCGUGAAUCUGGCUUCUUGUCGGAGAACCUGGUGAACGAACAUCGCGGAACAUCGCGUGCCUGCCAGUUACGCGAAAUAUGACGAAGAUCCACGCUCGAACUGUGCGCGGACUCGCGAUCGCGGAGUGAAAAGUGUAACUCGUGCUAUUCCUCCUGUGUUGUGUGAUCCUGUCGAUUGGACUCGAGUGAAGUCUUCUUCUACCACGAACUUUUACCGGCUGUGUGUGAAUCUACGCGAAGGACCUACUGCGGAUUGAUCGAGAAGAUCAUCGUGAGCGGAUCAGCUGCGGAGGAUGAACGGCGUGCAACGGACUCCAGUCGACGCCUUCGACGCCAAGGGCGUGCUCAUCACGGAUGUGGAAGAAGGGCAGCCCUGCUUGCAAUGCGGAGAAGCGUGUCCCGGAUUCUCGCCGCAUACAUGGAG